RNAcentral lists this transfer RNA (76 nucleotides) under Streptomyces asoensis. Its description in RNAcentral is "tRNA-Pro". Lineage: Bacteria; Bacillati; Actinomycetota; Actinomycetes; Kitasatosporales; Streptomycetaceae. The record is from RNAcentral.
CGGUGUCGUGGCGUACGAGGGCGGCGCGUGGAGCUCGGACCUCGGCGCGGGACCGGUCGCGUACGUCGUCAUCGAC